CACUCCUACGGGAGGCAGCAGUGGGGAAUAUUGCACAAUGGGCGCAAGCCUGAUGCAGCCAUGCCGCGUGUAUGAAGAAGGCCUUCGGGUUGUAAAGUACUUUCAGCGGGGAGGAAGGCGAUAAGGUUAAUAACCUUGUUGAUUGACGUUACCCGCAGAAGAAGCACCGGCUAACUCCGUGCCAGCAGCCGCGGUAAUACGGAGGGUGCAAGCGUUAAUCGGAAUUACUGGGCGUAAAGCGCACGCAGGCGGUCUGUCAAGUCGGAUGUGAAAUCCCCGGGCUCAACCUGGGAACUGCAUUCGAAACUGGCAGGCUAGAGUCUUGUAGAGGGGGGUAGAAUUCCAGGUGUAGCGGUGAAAUGCGUAGAGAUCUGGAGGAAUACCGGUGGCGAAGGCGGCCCCCUGGACAAAGACUGACGCUCAGGUGCGAAAGCGUGGGGAGCAAACAGGAUUAGAUACCCCGGUAGUCCC
RNAcentral lists this ribosomal RNA (471 nucleotides) under uncultured organism. RNAcentral describes it as "partial 16S ribosomal RNA". It matches the Rfam family "Bacterial small subunit ribosomal RNA", at positions 334 to 797 of the family's 1533-position model. The record is from RNAcentral.